CCAUCGCCCUCAUGUCUUCUUCUGGUCGGGCCCCCACUCCCCCUGCCGCCAUUUCCACUCAUUACGCCUGUUCCGUAUGUAAUAGGAAGUUCCCAUGCGGUCAGUCUUCCUCUCUCUGCGUGCAGUGCCUUCCCCCCAGGCCCACCCAGUCCGCCCCUGCGGCCCCCUCUUUGUCGGUCCUUCCGGAAUGGGCUGCUACCCUGUCCCAGGCCAUAGGUAACCUUGCCAGCCUCUCCCAAUCCCUAGCGCAGUCCCUGGACCGUCUGCCCGCUCAGAUUGCGGCCGCCUCGGGCAGGGACCCCCCCGCCGGGGAUACGCUUGGCGACUGUCCCCAGCCU
Bufo bufo (common toad) is the source of this 338-nucleotide long non-coding RNA. RefSeq lists it as uncharacterized. Lineage: Eukaryota; Metazoa; Chordata; Amphibia; Anura; Bufonidae. The transcript has 4 exons. The record is from RefSeq and is a predicted model, not a curated record.